UACUCAGUUCGGAUUGUAGUCUGCAACUCGACUACAUGAAGCUGGAAUCGCUAGUAAUCGCGGAUCAGAAUGCCGCGGUGAAUACGUUCCCGGGUCUUGUACACACCGCCCGUCGCACCAUGGGAGUCAGUAACGCCCGAAGUCAGUGACCCAACCGGAAGGAGGGAGCUGCCGAAGGCGGGACGGAUAACUGGGGUGAAGUCGUAACAAGGUAUC
RNAcentral lists this ribosomal RNA (216 nucleotides) under uncultured bacterium. Its description in RNAcentral is "partial 16S ribosomal RNA". It matches the Rfam family "Bacterial small subunit ribosomal RNA", at positions 1285 to 1500 of the family's 1533-position model. The record is from RNAcentral.